AGGUUUAUUAGUAAACUGCAUGCUACAGUCACUUUUCUUGGGUCACAUUAUUAAUGUCAGUAUGCAUUGUUGACUUUCUUUGUCUGAUACUACAAGCAGCGGUCUGCAGUGCUCUGAAAUCUGGAUCUUUAAGGUCAACAUCGCAAAACUGCUUAUCACAACAUCUGGAUGUUGGAGCUUCACUCUGCAGACUGAGGUACAUGUUUACUAGUAGAUAUACUUAUUAGUGAGCUAUUAGUAGGAACAGCCAUAGUAAAGAAUAGUAUAAUACAGAUAUUUAGAUCUUAGCUGAGCCGAUGUGUGACUGAUAAGGUGAAAACUGGUGAUGAAACCUAAAAACUAAGGAGAGAAAAAGCAAAUACCGCUCAACGAAAAGUGAUCCAGCCAAGAAAAUAAUGUGAUGUACUGAUUGUAGGACGUACGGCAGUGAAAAUGUUAAGGGGUCUUUUUUGUAGUUGGGACAAGCAACUCCACAGUGGAAACAAUAAAGGACCAUGACAUCUUCGUUGGCCAUGUCAAAAGCAUUAUCUAAAUGGAAGAAGACAACAAAGUACUCCUGCACAUAUGCAAUGAGCUGCUCGUUUUGUCUUUGUCUUAAUCAGUUACCUAUGUAUUCGCAUGCAAUUUUAACAUGCUCACAAUCCCUAAGAUGAAUUAUUCAGGAAUCAUGAAUGUGUGUACAGAACUAGCUGCAAAUUCCGCUAACAUUUGUGUAGAAAUCUAAAAUGUUUGAAUCUACCGAAAGUCAUAAGAGGAAGAAGAUUACCACUCUUUUUUGUUUUAGGCAAUGUAUCUUAAACAUAUUACAGCUUCCAGUUAAUAACAGCGAUGUGAGAUGCCAAACGAUUACCAUGUGAAAGUAAAUUGUUUUUGCCGCUAUACCUGCAAGACAACGUUCAAGUUUGUGUAUAAACUCGUAGCUCGCGUCCGUUGCAGAUUUAUACACUACAUCUACACUGCUGAUCAUGAUGAGGCCUUUGCAGUCAUUUGGGUGUGUCUCCUCCUCUGUGGAAAGCAUUGUGCUUUUCCAUUCAAAAAGAAACCAGUUUAGCUGAAGGUCAUCAGCAGUGAACUCUGGAAAUGUUUGAAUCUACAGAAAAACAUAAGAGGGAGAAGAUUAAAACUUUUUUUAGUUUUAGCCAAUGUACCCUAAACAUUUUACAACUUUCAGUUACUAACAGCAAUGUGAGAGCCCAAAUGAUUGUUUGUAGCGGUUGCAUGGUAACUCGUAGUAGAUAGAUAGAUACUUUAUUGAUCCCUCAAGAGGGAAAUUUUGGUAUCACAGCCGCAUGUACAGGGAAGAAAAUAGAAUAAAAAGAUACACAUUAUAUACAAUAUAAUAAGAUAUAAAUAUUAAAUAAAAUAAACUGAAACAAAAGAAUAACCUUCUAAAAGAGACAAUAAUAAUAAUUUGUAAAAAGAGAAGAGGAAAGAGCAGCAGCAGUACAGGGUUAUUAUUGUCAUUAUUUAGCCUGGGAUGAUUUAUUGUAAAGCGUUAUUGCACUGGGCAGGAAUGAUCUCCUGUAUCGGUCUUUGUGACAGCGGAGCUGAAGGAGUCUUUUGGAGAACGUGCUCCGCUGUCCCUGUAGCAGGUGGUGGAGGGGGUGGUCAGGAUUAUCCAAUGAGGAUAACAGUUUCUUCAGUGACCUCCCCUCCAACACCUUUUCCAAGGUGUCCUGUUUGCAGCCAAUGAUGGAGCCGGCCUCCUUAACAAGUUUGUUAAGUCUGUUGGUGUCACCGGCUCCAAUGCUGCUCCCCCAGCAGACCACGGCGAAGUACAAAGCACCGGCCACAACAGACUGAUAGAACAUCUCCAACAUCUUGCUGCACACCUGGAAGGAUC
Gasterosteus aculeatus aculeatus (three-spined stickleback) is the source of this 1843-nucleotide long non-coding RNA. Lineage: Eukaryota; Metazoa; Chordata; Actinopteri; Perciformes; Gasterosteidae. The record is from Ensembl.